AUGACAGAAGGCAGAGAUCUACCUAAGGAACCUGUUCUAAGGAACACCAUUGCUUGCAGUAGCAGAGGUCGAGGAUCCUUCUCCCUUACAAAGGGUAUAAGCUGGGAUUCAGAAAAACAAACAAGGACUCACUGCACUGUUGAGUUUCAACCACUGGGGAGCACUAGAGUAACAGAAGAACUUUCUGAGGACCCCUACACUGAAUUUCUUGAUACCUGUUCAAGGACACCGUGUUUCCUGUCGGAACCUGGCACCUGGUCCAGGGGACCGCUCGGUGCUGAACUUAAUGCCAGAGAUAGAGAAAUUGAGUAAAACACAGUUUCCUGGUCUCACGGAGCUCCAGUUGGGUGAGAGAACAAGAUUCAUAAACAUAAAAUCACAAGAAAAUAACACACAUAAAUAUACACCAGUUUCAGUAGAAGAAGAAAAAAAAGAACUCUGUACUUUCAUAAAAGUAAAGGAGUCUGGGGGGUGCCUGGGUGGCUCAGUGGUUAAGCAUCUGCCUUCAGCUCAGGUCCUGAUCCCAAAGGACUGGGACUGAGCCCCGUGUUGGGCUCCCUACUCAGCGGAAAGCCUUCUUCUCCCUCUCCCACUCUCCCUGCUUGUUAUCCCUCUCUCAUUGUGUCUCUCUCUGUCAAAUAAAUAAAUCAAAUCUUUAAAAAAAAAAAAAAAAGAGUAAAGCAGUCUGAAAAAGUUAUUUUGGACAGGGUUGAACCCAAAUGGUAUGAACAGUCCAGCAUUUGCCAAAUUAUGUGCAAAU
Molecule: long non-coding RNA, 760 nt
Filed under: Mustela putorius furo (domestic ferret)
Lineage: Eukaryota; Metazoa; Chordata; Mammalia; Carnivora; Mustelidae
Description: lncRNA (ENSMPUG00000032100.1)
Source: RNAcentral